GUAAGGAAUAUUGCUCAAUGGGAGAAAUCCUGAAGCAGCAACGCCGCGUGGAGGAUGAAGGGUCUAUGACUUGUAAACUCCUGUAAAGAAGGAAAAAAUUCCCAUUAGAUGGGAGAUGAUGGUACUUCUGGAGUAAGCCCCGGCUAACUACGUGCCAGCAGCCGCGGUAAUACGUAGGGGGCAAGCGUUGUCCGGAUUUACUGGGUGUAAAGGGUGCUCAGGCGGAUUUGUAAGUCAGAGGUGAAAUCUUACAGCUUAACUGUGAAACUGCCUUUGAUACGGCAAGCCUAGAGUAUGGAAGAGAGUGAUGGAAUAUCUGGUGUAGCAGUGAAAUGCGUAGAUAUCAGAUAGAACACCAAUGGCGAAGGCAGUCACUUGGUCCAUUACUGACGCUAAAGCACGAAAGCGUGGGUAGCAAAC
Molecule: ribosomal RNA, 420 nt
Filed under: uncultured bacterium
Lineage: Bacteria
Description: bacterial SSU rRNA
Rfam family: Bacterial small subunit ribosomal RNA
Source: RNAcentral